AUAACCGGCGAUGUCCGAAUGGGGAAACCCAGUGCAAUUCGUUGCACUAUCGUUAACUGAAUACAUAGGUUAACGAGGCGAACCGGGGGAACUGAAACAUCUAAGUACCCCGAGGAAAAGAAAUCAACCGAGAUUCCCCCAGUAGCGGCGAGCGAACGGGGAGCAGCCCAGAGUCUGAAUCAGCUUGUGUGUUAGUGGAACGGUCUGGAAAGUCCGACGGUACAGGGUGAUAGUCCCGUACACCAAAAUGCACAGGUUGUGAACUCGAAGAGUAGGGCGGGACACGUGGUAUCCUGUCUGAAUAUGGGGGGACCAUCCUCCAAGGCUAAAUACUCCUGACUGACCGAUAGUGAACCAGUACCGUGAGGGAAAGGCGAAAAGAACCCCGGCGAGGGGAGUGAAAAAGAACCUGAAACCGUGUACGUACAAGCAGUGGGAGCACCUUCGGGUGUGACUGCGUACCUUUUGUAUAAUGGGUCAGCGACUUAUAUUCUGUAGCAAGGUUAACCGUAUAGGGGAGCCGCAGGGAAACCGAGUCUUAACUGGGCGUUAAGUUGCAGGGUAUAGACCCGAAACCCGGUGAUCUAGCCAUGGGCAGGUUGAAGGUUGGGUAACACUAACUGGAGGACCGAACCGACUAAUGUUGAAAAAUUAGCGGAUGACUUGUGGCUGGGGGUGAAAGGCCAAUCAAACCGGGAGAUAGCUGGUUCUCCCCGAAAGCUAUUUAGGUAGCGCCUCGUGAACUCAUCUUCGGGGGUAGAGCACUGUUUCGGCUAGGGGGUCAUCCCGACUUACCAACCCGAUGCAAACUACGAAUACCGAAGAAUGUUAUCACGGGAGACACACGGCGGGUGCUAACGUCCGUCGUGAAGAGGGAAACAACCCAGACCGCCAGCUAAGGUCCCAAAGUCAUGGUUAAGUGGGAAACGAUGUGGGAAGGCACAGACAGCCAGGAUGUUGGCUUAGAAGCAGCCAUCAUUUAAAGAAAGCGUAAUAGCUCACUGGUCGAGUCGGCCUGCGCGGAAGAUGUAACGGGGCUAAACCAUGCACCGAAGCUGCGGCAGCGACACUAUGUGUUGUUGGGUAGGGGAGCGUUCUGUAAGCCUGCGAAGGUGUGCUGUGAGGCAUGCUGGAGGUAUCAGAAGUGCGAAUGCUGACAUAAGUAACGAUAAAGCGGGUGAAAAGCCCGCUCGCCGGAAGACCAAGGGUUCCUGUCCAACGUUAAUCGGGGCAGGGUGAGUCGACCCCUAAGGCGAGGCCGAAAGGCGUAGUCGAUGGGAAACAGGUUAAUAUUCCUGUACUUGGUGUUACUGCGAAGGGGGGACGGAGAAGGCUAUGUUAGCCGGGCGACGGUUGUCCCGGUUUAAGCAUGUAGGCUGAUUGUCCAGGCAAAUCCGGAUAAUCAAGGCUGAGGUGUGAUGACGAGGCACUACGGUGCUGAAGUAACAAAUGCCCUGCUUCCAGGAAAAGCCUCUAAGCAUCAGGUAACAUCAAAUCGUACCCCAAACCGACACAGGUGGUCAGGUAGAGAAUACCAAGGCGCUUGAGAGAACUCGGGUGAAGGAACUAGGCAAAAUGGUGCCGUAACUUCGGGAGAAGGCACGCUGGUGUGUAGGUGAAGUCCCUGCGGAUGGAGCUGAGACCAGUCGAAGAUACCAGCUGGCUGCAACUGUUUAUUAAAAACACAGCACUGUGCAAACACGAAAGUGGACGUAUACGGUGUGACGCCUGCCCGGUGCCGGAAGGUUAAUUGAUGGGGUUAUCCGUAAGGAGAAGCUCUUGAUCGAAGCCCCGGUAAACGGCGGCCGUAACUAUAACGGUCCUAAGGUAGCGAAAUUCCUUGUCGGGUAAGUUCCGACCUGCACGAAUGGCGUAAUGAUGGCCAGGCUGUCUCCACCCGAGACUCAGUGAAAUUGAACUCGCUGUGAAGAUGCAGUGUACCCGCGGCAAGACGGAAAGACCCCGUGAACCUUUACUAUAGCUUGACACUGAACAUUGAGCCUUGAUGUGUAGGAUAGGUGGGAGGCUUUGAAGCGUGGACGCCAGUCUGCGUGGAGCCAACCUUGAAAUACCACCCUUUAAUGUUUGAUGUUCUAACGUUGGCCCCUGACCGGGGUUGCGGACAGUGUCUGGUGGGUAGUUUGACUGGGGCGGUCUCCUCCCAAAGCGUAACGGAGGAGCACGAAGGUUAGCUAAUCCUGGUCGGACAUCAGGAGGUUAGUGCAAUGGCAUAAGCUAGCUUGACUGCGAGCGUGACGGCGCGAGCAGGUGCGAAAGCAGGUCAUAGUGAUCCGGUGGUUCUGAAUGGAAGGGCCAUCGCUCAACGGAUAAAAGGUACUCCGGGGAUAACAGGCUGAUACCGCCCAAGAGUUCAUAUCGACGGCGGUGUUUGGCACCUCGAUGUCGGCUCAUCACAUCCUGGGGCUGAAGUAGGUCCCAAGGGUAUGGCUGUUCGCCAUUUAAAGUGGUACGCGAGCUGGGUUUAGAACGUCGUGAGACAGUUCGGUCCCUAUCUGCCGUGGGCGCUGGAGAAUUGAGGGGGGCUGCUCCUAGUACGAGAGGACCGGAGUGGACGCAUCACUGGUGUUCGGGUUGUCAUGCCAAUGGCACUGCCCGGUAGCUAAAUGCGGAAGAGAUAAGUGCUGAAAGCAUCUAAGCACGAAACUUGCCCCGAGAUGAGUUCUCCCUGAGACUUUAAGUCUCCUGAAGGAACGUUAAAGACGAUGACGUUGAUAGGCCGGGUGUGUAAGCGCAGCGAUGCGUUGAGCUAACCGGUACUAAUGAACCGUGAGGCUUAACCUU
This 2802-nucleotide ribosomal RNA is filed under the name Klebsiella pneumoniae. Its description in RNAcentral is "bacterial LSU rRNA". It matches the Rfam family "Bacterial large subunit ribosomal RNA". The record is from RNAcentral. Lineage: Bacteria; Pseudomonadati; Pseudomonadota; Gammaproteobacteria; Enterobacterales; Enterobacteriaceae.